Molecule: long non-coding RNA, 413 nt
Filed under: Sorghum bicolor (sorghum)
Lineage: Eukaryota; Viridiplantae; Streptophyta; Magnoliopsida; Poales; Poaceae
Description: long non-coding RNA (SBIC_LNC002378)
Source: RNAcentral
UGCGCUUGGGGUCGGUGGCGGAGAAGACGGUGUAGACGAGCACGAAGGUGCCGAUGAUCUCGGCGCCGAGCCCGGUGCCGCGUGAGUAGCCGGAGGCGAGCGAGUUGGCGCCGCCGCCGUACCUGUCGAAGUAGGCGCUCUGGAACGCCUUGACGAGGCCGACGCCGCAGAUGGCGCCCAGGCACUGCGCCACGAUGUAGAGCAGCGCGCGCACCAGGGAGACCUUGCGCGCCAGGAACAGGCCGAAGGUGACGGCCGGGUUGAUGUGGCCGCCGGAGAUCCCCGCCGUGCAGUAGACGAGGACGAAGAUCAUGCCGCCGAACGCCCACGCGAUGCCCAGCACGCCCACGCCGCCGCACGCGGCGUCGGCGCCCGACGCCGUCGCGUCCGUCUGGUGCUUGUACCCGAUCACG